CCAUUUGUCUAAGAAACAAAAUAUUAGAGGUAUUUGAAAAAAAAAAAAAUUAAAGUGAUGUUUUAAAGUAAUUUCUUUAAUAUCAAUUAUAUGAAUCAAUUUUAUUAUUACUUUUUAGGCAAAAUUCAAUAAUACUUCGUCUAAAAAAUAUCCAGGCGGUAAUGAUUGUAUCUGGUAUCUGAACCAGUGGCUCACUUUUUCUAUAAUUUGAAAAGAGUUGGAAUAAUAUUUUAUGUAAUCCCCCAUAUUUUUCUUAGUAAAUAAUAAUUAUAUAUUUUUAUGUAUACGAAUAUUUUUAAUAAUUUUAUAGAUAUUCUGGAAAGAUUUGACAAAAAAAAAAAAAAAAACGAUAACUUAUAUUCCAAUAGCUUAAUUACUCACCUUGGGCCCAUGACUAUCAUUCUAAUUCUACAAAAAAAAAAAAAAAAAGAGCCCAUACCCUCAUUUUUAAUUAAGUAAAAUUCUUUCAAAACCCUCCUAUUGCCUUCUCCUUAUUACUCCUCCUCUACUGCUUCCCCUUCAUUCAUGACUCAUACACAAAAACAAAAAAAAAAAAUCGUUGCUGCCCUACACCGCCACUGCUGCCGACCACCACCACCACCGGCGACCGUUCGCUACUGCCACGGCCGCCUGCCCUCAGCCGAAACCUGCAGCCACCGUCGCCCAGCCGGAGAGGACUUCGUAGAAGGUGACUUCUAGCCUUAAAGUGGCCAAUCAAUUUGUGUACUCAAGACUAAUCACAGGUUUUUGCAUAAACUGAACUUGCAUCAGGGUGAUGGGAUUUGAGUGGAGCGUUGGUUAAUCACUUAGCUUAUUUCAUUUCAUAAAUUGAUGUUAUUUUGACUUUAACUCUACCAGCUUCCUAUUUUACUGGGUUUUUAAUAAGGGUCGUUAUGGUUCCAACUUGUAAGUCUAAAUUUGGUUUUGAUUAUUAGUUUUGAAACUUAUAUUUUCUUUUAAAACUAAAUUAGUUUUUCGCUGUUGAUAUCUUAAACUAGCCUUAACGUUUGAACACGUGGCAAUAGCACGCCAGUAAUUCUCUCACAGGUUAUUAAAAGUAUUUACAGGUUACUACAAGUUAUUACAGGUUAAUACAGGUUUUAAAGAGAGAAUUAUUGGGGUGUUACAUUUUAGGUAAAUGUAUGGAAAAAUUAAGAACACGAAAUAAAAAGAAAUACAUUUUAUGUAAGGAUAAUGUAUAAGAUUUGGAACAAUAUUACAGUUGUAUUAUACAAAUAUUAAAAUAUUUUUUGCCAAAAGGGGAGGGGUUUUGGAGAGAAAAAACGCCACCAGGAAGUGUCAUGUGUCAUUGCUGGUGUCUGUUUUAGUAUUAUGUUAUUGAUUUUUAUAAUUUUUUACAAAUGAGGAUAUAAACGAUUAAAAUUAUGCAUUGACAAACGUGAAAACAAGAAACGUUGCAAGCGACAGAGAAGGAGCGCGUUGUCAGUGGACGAAUCAUCACUGUCUUCAUCAUUUUUUUGUAUUUGUAUUCCUUCAAGGUGUAGUUGUCGAACACAGUUUCUACUGAAGAAUCCUCUUGAUGAUGCUCAUGUUGCACUCCUUCUGGUGGCGCAUACUGUUGAUGGAUGAAUCCCGUUGAUAAUCCUAACGUAAUUCCCCAGGCGCAAUUUCAACUGAUAAAUGAACCUGAUGUAAUUCCCCAGCAGAAGUUUCAACUGAUAAAUGAUCUGAAGUAAUCUUCCAGGCACAAGUUUAAUUAAUAAAUUAUCCUGAAGUAAACCCUCGGGUGCAAUUUCAAUUGACAAAUGUCUUGGUGGUGGUGGUGGUGUACGAUUUUUGCAAUAGAAAUUAAACUCUCUAAAUAAAUAAUAAUGUUGCAUCCAUGAAUUUAGCAUAGGUAUGUUCUUACAACAUUUAUGCUUUAUUUAUAAGGUGAUUUAUUACAACAUAUUUUUACAAAGUGUCACAAAACCUGAUUUUUAUAAGGGGUUUCCCACAAAUGUUCAUCCAAGAAUCACUAUACAAUUGUUCAUA
Chenopodium quinoa (quinoa) is the source of this 1995-nucleotide long non-coding RNA. RefSeq lists it as uncharacterized. NCBI's taxonomy places the organism in Eukaryota, Viridiplantae, Streptophyta, Magnoliopsida, Caryophyllales, Amaranthaceae. The transcript has 3 exons. The record is from RefSeq and is a predicted model, not a curated record.